Molecule: ribosomal RNA, 273 nt
Filed under: uncultured prokaryote
Description: partial 16S ribosomal RNA
Rfam family: Bacterial small subunit ribosomal RNA
Source: RNAcentral
AACGUAGGUGGCGAGCGUUAUCCGGAUUUACUGGGCGUGAAGCGCGUGCAGGCGGUCUGGUAAGUCGGACGUGAAAUCUCUCGGCUCAACCGAGAGAGGCCGUUCGAUACUGCCGGACUUGAGGGCAGUAGAGGAAGGUGGAAUUCCCGGUGUAGUGGUAAAAUGCGUAGAGAUCGGGAGGAACACCAGUGGCGAAGGCGGCCUUCUGGGCUGCCCCUGACGCUCAGACGCGAAAGCUAGGGGAGCGAACGGGAUUAGAAACCCUAGUAGUCC